RNAcentral lists this ribosomal RNA (253 nucleotides) under uncultured bacterium. Its description in RNAcentral is "partial 16S ribosomal RNA". It matches the Rfam family "Bacterial small subunit ribosomal RNA", at positions 524 to 776 of the family's 1533-position model. The record is from RNAcentral.
UAGGGAGGGGGAUAGCGUUGCUCGGAAUUACUGGGCGUAAAGCGCACGUAGGCGGAUUGUUAAGUCGGGGGUGAAAUCCCGGGGCUCAACCCCGGAAUGGCCUCCGAUACUGGCAAUCUUGAGGUCGGGCGAGGUGAGUGGAAUGGCGAGUGUAGAGGUGAAAUUCGUAGAUAUUCGCCGGAACACCAGUGGCGAAGGCGGCUCACUGGCCCGAUACUGACGCUGAGGUGAGACAGCGUGGGGAGCAAACAGG